Long non-coding RNA from Homo sapiens (human), 1167 nucleotides. Ensembl annotates it as hepatocellular carcinoma up-regulated long non-coding RNA. Its record names the gene HULC. The record is from Ensembl. Lineage: Eukaryota; Metazoa; Chordata; Mammalia; Primates; Hominidae.
GCACUCGGAGCGGCAGGCCGGCCUCGACGGCCCCGGGCAGUGAGGGGCUUAGCACCCAAGCCAGCAGCUGCGGAGGGUGCGCCAGGUCCCCCAGCAGUGCCGGCCGACGAUUCUAACUCAAAUAGCUCAAAGGACACCUUCUCCGGGAAACCUUCCCUGACUUCCGACGCUGUUUCCUGUUACCCAUGAUGUACAUUAGAACACAGCAACUAUUUGAGUGAAAUAAGUAUUUUUAUUUAUUUCAAGAGGAAAGCAAAGUCGAAGGGUGUUCAGGGCUACAGUUUUGCUUGACCAGAUGUUGCCAAGUUUCAAAGUCAAAUCGGUUCAUCUCCUGGCUAUCAGCUAAAGGGUGUUGUAUUUGUAAGCAUUGAGAACUUCUAUCUACUGCUAUUGUAUUUUGCAUAUUUGUAUUUUCUGAGUUCUAUUUGAGAGAGACGGAAUUACGCAUUUCCAUAUGGAUCAUCCUCUUCCCUAUGUAUGUUGCUUUAUUGCCUUUUGGAAGAAAAAAAGUGAGAGUUGCAGUCUGUAUUUAGGCCAUUUCUAUGUUCUUUAUUGGGUUACGUUUGAAUGCCCAAUUUGAUCUCAAUGGCACGUCCUUUGUAACAUAAAAUAAAACAUGGUGCUCAGGAAAAGUAACGACACACACAUCCAGGCCCUUUCAUAGCAGUUGGUAAAGCUUAAGCCUUGCCUCUCUGUGUGGUAGUUUCCCUUCCCUUUCUUUUCGUUCCCUGUGACAAGCAGCCAUUGUCCCCUUGGUGAGAUCUGCAAUAUUACUUUGACCCCAGCCCAUCAAUCUGCCUCAAUUGGAUAAUGAUCUGUAAUCACGUUCUUUCAGGGGAGUCUAUAAAUUUGCCAAGGCCCCAUUCUCUUCUGAAGGACUCCUUAUGUUCACUCCCAUUUGUGCAAAUGUGCUCUCUUUUACAGGGCUAAAUAGCCAUGCACAUGGUCCAUUCUGUGAGGAGGCACCGGGCGGUUCUCUGUUGAUUUUCCACGCUCUAGUCUCUUAAAGGAGACUAAGGCUGACAUGCAGGGACACAGUGGGGGGGUGGCCCGAGCCAGGCCACAUCACAGGCAGCCGCUUUUCUCAUUAAGACUGACCCAUCAUUAGGUCACUUUGUGCCAUCCUUGUAAUCAAUGAGCUUAAUGUUUAGUGCAAAAAAAAAAAAA